AAAAGCUCGUAGUUGGAUUCCUGCUCUGGACGUAGGGGGCCGCUAACGCGGUCCACCAUGCGCACCCGGCAUUCUGCCCGCCGCUCCCGAGAUCGUUGUCAAAGGCGGCUCGGGGUGGAUGGCGGAGAUCGCUUUGCAAAAAUUAGAGUGCUCUAGGCGGGCCACUAAGCUCGAAUAGUAAUGCACGGUACGAUGAAACAUGACUUUGGCUCUUAUUCGGUUGGGGCACGGAGACCGAGGUAAUGAUUAAUAGGAGCAGACGGGGGCAUUCGUAUUCCGACGCUAGAGGUGAAAUUCUUGGACCGUCGGAAGACGCACCACUGCGAAAGCAUUUGCCAAGAAUGUUUCCGUUGACCAAGAACGAAAGUGUGGGGCUCAAAGAAGAUUAGAUACCUUUGUAGUCUUGUACCCUAAACGAUACCCUCCAGCGAUCCGGCUGCGUACGAACGUGACGCGCCGGGCAGCUCUUCCGGGGAAACCAGAGUUCCGGCUCCGGGGGAAGUAUGGUUGCAAAGCUGAAACUUAAAGGAAUUGACGGAGGGGCACUACCAGGAGUGGAGCCUACGGCUUAAUUUGACUCAACACGGGAAAACUUACCCGGCCCGGACGUGUUAUCGGUUGAACAGACUGACGGCUCUUUUUAGAGUUUGUGGAUGGUGGUGCAUGGCCGCAGUUGGUUCGUGGGGUGACCUGUCUGGUUAAUUCCGAUAAACGGACGAGAUUCUUGCUUACUAAAUACGCUCGAUYCUUUAUCAAUGAAGAGAUGAGCUUCUUAGAAGGACCGUCGGCUUCGAAGCCGUACGAAAAGGAGCGAUUGCAGGUCUGUGAUGCCCUAAGAUGUCCGGGGCCGCACGUGCGCUACAGUAGAGCGGACAACGUGCUUCUUUGUUCCUUGGCCUGUCGGCCUAGGUAACCAGAGCAGUCUGUCUCAGUGCUGGGGACAGGGGAUUGUAAUUGUUCCCCUCCAACGAGGAAUUCCUAGUAGGCGCGAGUCAUUAACUCGUGCCGACUAAGUCACUGCCCUUUGUACACACUGCCCGUCGCUAUCUCCGAUCGAGCGGUGGAGUGAGGUCUUCGGACGAGCUCGCUGGUCCUUCCUCGUCGGAGGACCGGGUGUGGCACGGAAAAAGACCGAACUUGGCCGUUUAGAGGAGGUAAAAGUCGUAACAAGGUUUC
RNAcentral lists this ribosomal RNA (1176 nucleotides) under Trichonephila clavipes. RNAcentral describes it as "SSU rRNA". It matches the Rfam family "Eukaryotic small subunit ribosomal RNA", at positions 624 to 1823 of the family's 1831-position model. The record is from RNAcentral. Lineage: Eukaryota; Metazoa; Arthropoda; Arachnida; Araneae; Nephilidae.